UACGGAGGGUGCAAGCGUUAUCCGGAUUCACUGGGUUUAAAGGGAGCGUAGGUGGGUCGGUAAGUCAGUGGUGAAAUCCCCGAGCUUAACUUGGGAACUGCCAUUGAUACUAUCGAUCUUGAAUUCUGUGGAGGUAAGCGGAAUAUAUCAUGUAGCGGUGAAAUGCUUAGAUAUGAUAUAGAACACCGAUAGCGAAGGCAGCUUACUACGCAGACAUUGACACUGAGGCUCGAAAGCGUGGGGAUCAAACAGGAUUAGAUACCCUGGUAGUCCACGCCCUAAACUAUGGAUACUCGACAUCAGCGAUACACUGUUGGUGUCUGAGCGAAAGCAUUAAGUAUCCCACCUGGGAAGUACGUCCGCAAGGAUGAA
This 372-nucleotide ribosomal RNA is filed under the name uncultured bacterium. Its description in RNAcentral is "bacterial SSU rRNA". It matches the Rfam family "Bacterial small subunit ribosomal RNA", at positions 524 to 898 of the family's 1533-position model. The record is from RNAcentral.